UGUCAUUCUCCUCCUCUUGUUGCCUAUUACCCAAGAAGACCAUACUCCUCAACCCAGUUUUCAAGGCUCUCUUCACUAGCAGUUGGAUUCCCACCUUCCAACUUUCUCUCAUAUGUUUCCAAUUUGUUCCUCAAGACCCAGCUUAGAGCCAGCUACACCUUGUAAGGGCCUCUGAAGCCUGGACUCUGGAGCAGGGACCCUGGGUAUGAACCCCUUCUGCCAGGUUCUAAGGGAAGUUCAGCUUUGGAGUCAUCUCCAAGGAAAAGAUCAAGGAGGAGAAAAGUAUCUAGAGAAUGUAAGAAAGAAUUGGAAUGCAGUAGAAACGAUGUUCUGUCAGUCUGCGGGCCCAGGAUUUAAGAGGCUGGCAAUUUCCACUUCUUGCCUCUUGAAACUUUCACUCUUAAAGCCCCAGGCUGCCGAACAGGCCCUGGGACUGCAUGAAGAGGGAGAACAGCCCAACAGAGACCGGCCUUCUGCUAAGGGGCCAGAUAUAAGAGUGAAGCUAUCUUGGACCCUCCAGACCCUCCAAGCCUACCAGCUGAAUACCAUUAAGUGACUCCAGGUGGUGUUACGUGGAACAGAAGAAUCAUUCAGCUGAGUCCUGGAUCCAUCCUACACAACUGUAGCUGAGCCUGAAUUCCUCAUCUUCACGGUUGUAAGAUAUAAUGAAAUUGUUGUCAUUUUAAGCCAUUACAUUUUGGAGUGAUUUGUAAGUGCAGCAAUAAAUAACCAGAAUAUUACCCUACUUGGGACCUUAUAACUUCUUACCUGGAAAACUGAUCCUUUCAUUAGUCUCCUGUCCUUCCAACCACGCUCUACCCUACUCAGUUUGUUUUCAUGGAGAAACUGUGUGGGGCUCCUGCUUUAAAAAAAAAAGAGUCAUUGUCAACAGAAUACACACUAAUCUCUUUAGUCGGCCCCCACUGGCCUUCUAAGAUCUGUCUCUGAACUCACCUUUCCAAGCUCUCCUCUUCUUCCCUCACAUUUCUUAUGCUCCAACCAAAUUCAACUGUUGGCCUAACCCCUUGACACUCCAUGAUUUUGAUUUUGUCCCCACAGUUCCUCCUCCUGGAAUGUCCUUCCCCUCAUCCAUGUAUGUCCACAUCCUGCUUGCCUCCCAAAGACAGCCAAGAAUAUCAAUCUCUCUGGUGGAAAUAAUCUCUCUCCUGAAUUUCCACAGCAUCUUAUCUGGGCCUCUCAUCAAAC
Molecule: long non-coding RNA, 1206 nt
Filed under: Equus caballus (horse)
Lineage: Eukaryota; Metazoa; Chordata; Mammalia; Perissodactyla; Equidae
Description: lncRNA (ENSECAG00000050241.1)
Source: RNAcentral